Molecule: long non-coding RNA, 344 nt
Organism: Pezoporus flaviventris
Lineage: Eukaryota; Metazoa; Chordata; Aves; Psittaciformes; Psittacidae
Exons: 3
Source: RefSeq, a predicted model, not a curated record
GAACUAUGCAACCGCUUGCUCAGUCCCACCUUUUUCUCCCCCCCUCUUCCACAGGGAUGUGGAGGAGAAUUGAAAGAAUGUAAAUCUCAUGGGUUGAAAUAAGACCAGUCCAGUAACUAAGUUUCCUACAACCUCCUGUUCUCCUGAAUAAGUGAUAUCUCCAUCCCCAAAAUGCGUCCUGCCGUUCCCUUUGAUGAGACACGAUCAGCUUGAUAAGCCCAUUUCUGCUGUGGGUUUGAUUCAGCUGUCUACAAAAAAACUUGGGUUCUUGGAAGAGCUCACAGGCAGGUGCUGAGGGAAAGUGCUUGCUGCAGGAGACCUACAGAGACAGGGGAAAGAGGCAA